AACGAACGCUGGCGGCAUGCCUAACACAUGCAAGUCGAACGAGACCUUCGGGUCUAGUGGCGCACGGGUGCGUAAAGCGUGGGAACAUGCCCUUAGGUUCGGAAUAACGCCCCGAAAGGGGUGCUAAUACCGGAUAUUAUCCUCGGACCAAAGAUUUAUCGCAUUUGGAUGGGCCCGCGUUGGAUUGGCUAGAUGGUAGGGUAAACGCCUACGAAGGCGACGAUCCAUAGCUGGUCUGAGAGGAUGAUCAGCCACACUGGGACUGAGACACGGCCCAGACUCCUACGGGAGGCAGCAGUGGGGAAUAUUGGACAAUGGGCGAAAGCCUGAUCCAGCAAUGCCGCGUGAGUGAUGAAGGCCUUAGGGUUGUAAAGCUCUUUUACCCGGGAUUAUAAUGACAUUACCGGGAGAAUAAGCUCCGGCUAACUCCGUG
RNAcentral lists this ribosomal RNA (433 nucleotides) under uncultured bacterium. RNAcentral's name for it is "partial 16S ribosomal RNA". It matches the Rfam family "Bacterial small subunit ribosomal RNA", at positions 29 to 507 of the family's 1533-position model. The record is from RNAcentral.